AUUGAACGCUGGCGGCAGGCCUAACACAUGCAAGUCGAACGAGUGGCGGACGUGUGAGUAAUGUCGGGGAAACUGCCUUAUAGAGGGGGAUAACUACGAAAAAGGGUAUAUUAUACCGCAUACCAUCAGAUGUGCCCAGAUGGGUUUCGAUUGUUGGUGGGGUAACGGCUCACCAAGGCGACGAGCCCUAGCUGGUCUGAGAGGAUGACCAGCCACACUGGAACUGAGACACGGUCCAGACUCCUACGGGAGGCAGCAGGGGGGAAUAUUGCACAAUGGGCGCAAGCCUGAUGCAGCCAUGCCGCGUGUAUGAAGAAGGCCUUCGGGUUGUAAAGUACUUUCAGCGGGGAGGCGUUACCCGCAGAAGAAGCACCGGCUAACUCCGUGCCAGCAGCCGCGGUAAUAC
Molecule: ribosomal RNA, 406 nt
Filed under: uncultured bacterium
Lineage: Bacteria
Description: partial 16S ribosomal RNA
Rfam family: Bacterial small subunit ribosomal RNA
Source: RNAcentral